CAGUACAGGCCUUAAUACGGUGAAACCGCGAAUGGCUCAUUAAAUCAGCUAUGGUUUAUUGGAUCAUACCCGUUAAAUGGAUAACUGUAAUAACUCUAGAGCUAAUACAUGCCUCGAAGCCCUGACCCAGUUUCGGCUGGGAAUGGGUGCACUUAUUAGAUCAGAAGCCAACUAGUCGGGCUAACCCUCGGCUAAAGCACUUCUGGUGACUCUGGAUAAUUGUUACAGAUCGCAGUCGGCCUUUGAGUCGGCGACGGGUCCUUCAAAUGUCUGCCCUAUCAACUUUCGAUGGUAGGUGACCUGCCUACCAUGGUGAUAACGGGUAACGGGGAAUCAGGGUUCGAUUCCGGAGAGGGAGCCUGAGAAACGGCUACCACUUCCAAGGGAGGCAGCAGGCGCGCAAAUUACCCACUCCCAGCACGGGGAGGUGGU
RNAcentral lists this ribosomal RNA (432 nucleotides) under Trichocephaloidis megalocephala. Its description in RNAcentral is "SSU rRNA". It matches the Rfam family "Eukaryotic small subunit ribosomal RNA", at positions 61 to 468 of the family's 1831-position model. Lineage: Eukaryota; Metazoa; Platyhelminthes; Cestoda; Cyclophyllidea; Dilepididae. The record is from RNAcentral.